GAUGAACGCUAGCGGCAGGCUUAACACAUGCAAGUCGAGGGGCAGCAUAAUGGAUAGCAAUAUCUAUGGUGGCGACCGGCGCACGGGUGCGUAACGCGUAUGCAACCUACCUUUAACAGGGGGAUAACACUGAGAAAUUGGUACUAAUACCCCAUAAUAUCAUAGAAGGCAUCUUUUAUGGUUGAAAAUUCCGAUGGUUAGAGAUGGGCAUGCGUUGUAUUAGCUAGUUGGUGGGGUAACGGCUCACCAAGGCGACGAUACAUAGGGGGACUGAGAGGUUAACCCCCCACACUGGUACUGAGACACGGACUAGACUCCUACGGAAGGCAGCAGUGAGGAAUAUUGGUCAAUGGACGCAAGUCUGAACCAGCCAUGCCACGUGCAGGAUGACGGCGCUAUGAGUUGUAAGCUGCUUUUGUACGAGGGUAAACGCAGAUACGUGUAUCUGUCUGAAAGUAUCGUACGAAUAAGGAUCGGCUAACUCCGUG
This 488-nucleotide ribosomal RNA is filed under the name uncultured bacterium. RNAcentral describes it as "partial 16S ribosomal RNA". It matches the Rfam family "Bacterial small subunit ribosomal RNA", at positions 28 to 507 of the family's 1533-position model. The record is from RNAcentral.